Molecule: long non-coding RNA, 1471 nt
Organism: Dreissena polymorpha
Lineage: Eukaryota; Metazoa; Mollusca; Bivalvia; Myida; Dreissenidae
Exons: 3
Source: RefSeq, a predicted model, not a curated record
GCUGUAAAAUAAUGAACUUAAAGAACCAUCUAUGUGACCAUCAUGAAUCGUUUUAGCUGAAAAUAUCUCUUAGAACGGACUGGUUGUGAUAAUCCGGGAAAAGGCACUACAUGUAAAUACCAAAUCAAGUGAAUAAAGAGCGUUAUGAAGAAUGACAUCGAAGUCGAGCUGCGUAUUGUGCGAAUAUCAUAGCUUGAUAAGAAAACUAUAGGGUUAGGCGAAAAGGACUGCAUUUCUCUGAAUAGAAUAAGCGAUUCGCAAGGGGAUAUUUAUGUUUUCGAAAGUGGCCAAGUUCUUUUUGAAUAUUUUCGAAAGAACUUCUUACCUGGGCGAAUUUUUUUACUGAAGCGUAAACUGGAACCUGAAAUACCAAAAGUUGUCAUUCGUUCGGACAAGAACUUUGAUUUUAAAACAGAUUGUUUAUUUUGUGAAAAUGUUGUAGAGUUGAAUACUCAGCACCCAUCUGAAGGUUCUAAGCGGCACUCUGUGAAAACAACUAGUUUCCAGUAUUAUAAAACAAGCGAAAGAGAAGAUGAAUGGGGUAAAGUUGUGCUCGCCAGAAUUGAAUACUCGAGAGAUCUUUUUGCCUCAGAUGAAACAUAUCAACAGGACUGUAGUGUUAAAUUCCGGACAAAAGAUGAAGAUAUAUUUACGCCUACGCCAGCAAAAAGAAAAAAGGAAGAAAAGUGUCAGAAGACAGAGAAGCGGCUUUCCUUGAAGUAGUAAAGGAAAUCGAACAUAAUACAAAUAGGCCCUAUACCAUUGAAGAACUUGUGAAAAUGAUGAAAUACAAUUUACGUGAAAAUGCCGAUUCUGAACCUUAUUCGAGUAAGCACAUGAAACGUCGUCUUAUAGAACAUCUUGGAUCAAGAAUAUAUAUUACUGAAACAUGUGGUAAAUAAAAUUUAAUCACAUUAAAACUUGAGGUGUCGAAACAUGUGGAAAACUUCUAUGAAGAAAGCAAAAAUGACAAUGACGAUGAAAAAAAGACAAAACUCAUCAAAACUGCUGCAAAAUUAAUACAAAAUGACAUUGCUUUGAUUCCAAAUAAGAAAGAAAAUUAACCUACAAGUGUAGACGUAGAAAGCAAAGACGCAUGAUUUGAUUUUCUGCCUGAUUCAUUGAAUAUUGUUUUGGGAAUUUUGAUUCCGUGGAAAGAUUCUGAUUUGAAAAAGCUGCGAUCGGCCAAACUCUGGUUCAGGCAGCAAGACCGAUACCAAUAUUAGCUCCUUUGCAAUUCGGGCUAGAUGUACAGUUACAUCAAAUGUUUGGAUCGAAAAUGCUGGUUUGUUAAAUGAAUUGGGGUUUAGUAUGCCCUAUUUUGAAACGCAAAGGUUUGAGAAGUCUGCAUCAAUGAUUCAAGACUUUAACAUUCCAGACUCUCAAGACAAUUCAUGGCCGAUAACGUUGAUCAUAAUGUUAGAACAAUUGAUGGGCUAAACACUUUACAUGGAAUGGGGAUGAUGAUGGC